AACGAACGCUGGCGGCAUGCCUAACACAUGCAAGUCGAACGAGACCUUCGGGUCUAGUGGCGCACGGGUGCGUAACGCGUGGGAACCUGCCCUUAGGUUCGGAAUAACUCCCCGAAAGGGGUGCUAAUACCGGAUAAUGUCUUCGGACCUAAGAUUUAUCGCCUUUGGAUGGGCCCGCGUUGGAUUAGCUAGUUGGUAGGGUAAAAGCCUACCAAGGCGACGAUCCAUAGCUGGUCUGAGAGGAUGAUCAGCCACACUGGGACUGAGACACGGCCCAGACUCCUACGGGAGGCAGCAGUGGGGAAUAUUGGACAAGGGGCGAAAGCCUGAUCCAGCAAUGCCGCGUGAGUGAUGAAGGCCUUAGGGUUGUAAAGCUCUUUUACCCGGGAUGAUAAUGACAGUACCGGGAGAAUAAGCUCCGGCUAACUCCGUG
RNAcentral lists this ribosomal RNA (433 nucleotides) under uncultured bacterium. RNAcentral's name for it is "partial 16S ribosomal RNA". It matches the Rfam family "Bacterial small subunit ribosomal RNA", at positions 29 to 507 of the family's 1533-position model. The record is from RNAcentral.